Long non-coding RNA from Cuculus canorus (common cuckoo), 2344 nucleotides. RefSeq lists it as uncharacterized. Lineage: Eukaryota; Metazoa; Chordata; Aves; Cuculiformes; Cuculidae. The record is from RefSeq and is a predicted model, not a curated record. The transcript has 3 exons.
GGAAGGGAGAAGAAAAGGGUAUAGAGGGGGAAGUGGAAAGGGAAAGAGAGAAAGGGAAAAGAAGAAGGGGAAGGGUCGGCUCUUGUCUCCCCGCUGCUCCGCGCCCCGGGGCGCUGCCGGUGCCGGAGGCUGCACCAUCACGGAGGGGAGAGGAGCGUCCUCCGGCUGCGUCCCCCGAAGGUGCAGUGAAGGGGACGUCGCUGUUGAGCUGUGCUCAAGCGUUGAGGGCGAAGGGCAGGCAGGUGUGAGGUAUGCGAAGUGUUGGUUUGUCUGAGCUGAGAGGGAUGGGGGGGAGAGAAACUGGGAGCUGGAGGAGCAUCUCCCCUGGGCUGAACCAUCCCCCUGAGGCUGAGAACUGGGACUGCUCAGCCUAGAGAAGAGAAAGCUCAGGGGGUGUUCUCAUCCAUAUCUACAAUACCUGAAGGGAGGGUGCAAAGAGGAUGGAGCUAGGCUGUUCUUAAUGCUGCCCAGAGAAGCUGUGGACUCUAUCUUUGGAGAUACUCAGAUGCUAUCUGGACAUUGUUCUGGAUGACCAGCUCUGGGUGGCCUUGCUUGAGCACGGGAGAUUGGACCAGCUGGAUCCGAGAAGGAUCAUGAGGUGUUUGGGCCAGUAAGAGCAAAGGUUUACUUUUUCAAGAACGAGAAAGAAGCAAGAGUUUGAAGACACAAACAAUAGUCUUACUUCUUUUUUUCUGAGAAAGAAUAAAGACAGUGAGGGCUUGGCUUCUGAGCCAGUCUGCAAACAGAAGACAGAAAGAUGUUCCAGAACGAAGUGUGAAACAACACAUUUAAAACCCUUAUCUUUAGAAGCAGCUAAGGGGCAGAGGAGCUUCUUCAAUCAAUAAAUGUUCACGCAUCUUUACCUCCAAAGAUCAUGGUUAAUGAACCAGCUAAUCUGCUUCCAAAAAGAGAUUGAGGUCCAUCUUUGGAGAUCUUCUCACUGCAUUAUGGAUCCACCCCUUCUGGCCAGAGAAUCCACAGUCACUGAAAUGGGAAGGCGAGCAGAGUACAGGCAACUGAAGAAUUCCUGUCCCAGUCUGAUGAUGCCACUCAGGCCUUCAGGAUGAAGUGCUCAGCACCAUCAGAGCCCAGGGAAAGCCUGCAACUGGAGGUACUAAAUCCCCCUGUGGUGCAGCUGUCUGAAGUGCUGCCUGAGGUCUCGACUGGUCUAAAGCAGAAGAUACUUCAGCUGGUGUAUUACUGUCAGUUCCUUAACAAAGAUGACAUUAAGUAGGUCAUGCCACCUGGAACAACUCCUAAAGCCAGAAAGCUGGGGAAUGAGCUAGCAGGACUUUCAGAGCAGCCCAUGGUCAGUAGGAGAGAGAAACUGAUUGCUCAUAGGUUCUCCAGGAAAGCCUCAUCUUAGAGUUUCCCCACAUGAACACGAACUAGGCUCUGUAGCUCAUGAAGGAUGGUCACAAUUCCUGAUGAUGCGGACAGAAAGCCCUGCAGCUUCUUCAUAGUUGUUAGUUCUAUCUCCAUGUUCUUUGUGGUGGCCUUCAGGGCCUUGACAUAACUGUCCUCUAGGAUACACUGUUCCUACCAUUCCUGAAGCUGUCAAACUAAGGCAAGAAUGCUUAGUAGUUAGGGUAGGGUUACAGCAUUUCCUAAAUGCUUCUACAACACUCCUCCUUGUCUCACAAGGACACUGCACAUUCUUCGUAGCCACUUGUUGGCUGCUCCAAUGCGGUUAGAAGCUCCUCCUGCUCCUAAAGUGACUUUCCAAGUCCAUAACAAUAAUGUGAUGAGGAAAUACAAAAAAAGUAUCAGAUGAGAUGGUGAGCAAGAAAUGUUCACGAGUGUUCUUGGGCCUCUGGAGCAGGAGUGCAGAGCAUUUGAUACCUAGCGAGCUGCCGGCCUGAGGAUAAUCAUUGGUGGCGAAAACAAGAAGGCAUGAAAACAAUAGCAGUGAUCGCAAGGAGCUUGGAAGGAGAAGAACUGCUGUGGAAAUUUUUAUGAAGGACUCAUGGGACCGGUGUUGACAUUUUUAGUAAGGUAUAAAUACAAGGUUGUAAUGAUAAACUUGGUCUUAGCUUGAAACGAAAGCUGAGUCUGUGCCUGUUAAUACGCCACAAAUGGCGCCCGAUUUAGGGUCUGAACAGAGGCUCACAUGAGGAGCGUGGUCCGGCGGCGUGCAUCAGCAGAAUGUUUGGAAGGUCUGAAACGAAGCCCAGGGUGCACCCGUAGACACCUUCCCACUAGACAGAAAGUGAGCUGCUGGUAAGGUGAUGGGGAACACCAUAAACCAGGAAUAGAAAGAUGUAAUUUAUUUAUAUUUAAAUAUAUUUUAAAGAAACAAAACUGAACGCUAGAAACUAAUGAUAUUAAAGCACUUUUGGUGUGG